This 263-nucleotide ribosomal RNA is filed under the name uncultured bacterium. RNAcentral's name for it is "partial small subunit ribosomal RNA". It matches the Rfam family "Bacterial small subunit ribosomal RNA", at positions 32 to 285 of the family's 1533-position model. The record is from RNAcentral.
AGGACGAAACGCUGGCGGCGUGCUUAACACAUGCAAGUCGAGCCGGUAAGGGCCUCCUUCGGGGGGUACACGAGCGGCGAACGGGUGAGUAACACGUGGGUGACCUGCCCUCAGCUCUGGGAUAAGCCUGGGAAAACCGGGUCUAAUACCGGAUAGGACUGCUUGCCGCAUGGUGGGUGGUGGAAAGUUUUUUCGGCUGGGGAUGGGCCCGCGGCCUAUCAGCUUGUUGGUGGGGUGAUGGCCUACCAAGGCGGUGACGGGUA